UCUCAGAGAACUAAAAUUGCUAAUUUAUUAUAACAGGUAAAUAAAGCACCACAAUUAUAGAAUAUAUCACUAUUUUAUUCUUGGUAAUUUUCUUAAUCACCUCAGCGAACUACAGAUGCAAUUGUAAAAAGGAAACAAAAGAACUCACAUAAUAAUCCAUAAGUGCAUCAGAAAUAAUGCCUAGAACCUCAGCCUUGCACAAAAUACAUCACUUGAAAUCUACUAAAUCAUGGUGUAGCAUAACUAACAAGUAACCUUGCAUUUAUUGUUCACAAACAUUGCUAUUCUGUUUUGUGAUGCAAGUAUAAGCCAAUGCAUUUCUCACUCUCUUUUUCUUUUCAAGGUAAGCAUGGUUCUUUAUUUUGAACUGGUUUCAAAACUAAGGAUAAAUCUGAGAAGUGGAUUUGUUCCUAUAGAUGAGGUAUAUAUAGCUUAUGGGAAACUGGCCAGCUUUAUGAAGUCUACAUAACUAAAAGUAGUCUCACAUUGUUUGCUAACAAAGCUAUUAUGGUUUCUCAUACAAGCAUAUAGAGCAGAUGCAAUUUCGACUGUCAUCUUUUUUCUUUUU
RNAcentral lists this unclassified non-coding RNA (568 nucleotides) under Hevea brasiliensis (rubber tree). Lineage: Eukaryota; Viridiplantae; Streptophyta; Magnoliopsida; Malpighiales; Euphorbiaceae. The record is from RNAcentral.